Long non-coding RNA from Numida meleagris (helmeted guineafowl), 806 nucleotides. RefSeq lists it as uncharacterized. The transcript is spliced from 2 exons. NCBI's taxonomy places the organism in Eukaryota, Metazoa, Chordata, Aves, Galliformes, Numididae. The record is from RefSeq and is a predicted model, not a curated record.
AAAAAAAAUCUGGGGCUGUUUGAGAACACUCUCAUCUACAUGCAAGUGUCAGAAUAAAGAAAGGAAUAUGCACUGGUUUAAAGUUGUAUUAAAUCCUUCCUCUUUAGAGUAGAAGUGCAAAGAGAAAUUUAGAAACAGAAGAGAGGCAAAUUUGCUCAUGAUUGCCAUAAAUUCAAUGCUGUGCUUCUAAGCAAGACACAUUGGAUGUGCUUCUACAACAGCAUGAGAGAAGAAUUUCAGGAUGCGGUUGUAAUGACGCAGUAUGUAUUUGAACCAAAACAUCUCUGUUCGGAUGAGGAUACCUUACUUCUGCUCUUGCCCAUACCACGCCAGUAAAUAAGGAGAGCUGCACACCUCCCUCCUGCUGUUCUGGGAGCCAGGUCUGAUCCGGCUCCGCGUGUGCGGGGGCUUGGAAACAGAAUUUAGAAUUCGCAGCGGCGUUCUAUUUCCUUCCACGAGAGGGGGAUCGCCUUUGCUCGAUGCUCCCAUGAAAGCUAGAGAGCGUGGUUUUGAGACGGGCUCAAAGCAGCAGCAUAGAGCAUCAUGUGCGCUCCUACCCACAGCAACAGCGCUGAGAAAGGCAGGUUUAGCUCCAGCGAAGCGUCAGCCGCACGUUCCGGAUCUGGCUGCAGUUUCAAGUGAAGAUGAAGUUAAAGUAAGAAGCUGGCUGUACAACAAACUCCUGGAGACCAGGCUGAGAUGUUGCAGCAGACUUCCUCUUUGCAGUGGUUAAGGAACAGCAGAGAAUUGAGAAAUGGAGAGAAAAAUUAUCUCUAGAGUGAUAAGAAUGAAGAUUAUUCUGUUAA